This 967-nucleotide long non-coding RNA is filed under the name Cyanistes caeruleus (blue tit). Its description in RNAcentral is "lncRNA (ENSCCEG00000000526.1)". Lineage: Eukaryota; Metazoa; Chordata; Aves; Passeriformes; Paridae. The record is from RNAcentral.
GAGAGCAAGGUGCUGGAUUUGAAUGCAGAUUCUCCACGUCAGGCCAGAUUUCCCAAUCUGCUACAGCUGAGUUAAUUUCCACCAUGGAUGCCACCAGAAUGUUGGAAUAAGGAGACUUCUAGCACACUCCCCAUCUUGAUAAGGCACCUGAAGUCACAUUGCAGAUGCACACUGCCUGUGCCACCAGGCUCUGCAUCCUCUUCCCCUGCCCUGGCCAUGGCUUCUUGUCAGCCCUGAUGUGCUGUAGGUGACUUUGGACCUCCCUCACCACUCUGGACUUGGGUGAUGCUCGUGGGACUCCUGGCUGAGCCUUGUUUCCAGCACCCAGCCCACUCUGCCCUCCUUGCCUGGGCACCCCAGGGCUGUGCCAGGCUGGGGAGGGCACUGCCCUGCUGCUCAUCUUUGCAGAUCAACCACUGACACCCAGACCAUCUCCUGUGUGGAUGUAAUUAUGCCCACAUAAAGGAGCCAGUGGGUUGGAAAAAGAAUCAUUGAUAUGUGAGACUGAAAUGUGAUUAAAUGAAGCAACAUCUGCCUUGUCAGAGAGAGCAGUGAGAAGAGACUUUAUUGCACUGUGUGGUGAAAGAAGGGAGAAAACCGUGAGCUGCUGACACCUCUGGUCUUGCAAAGAAGAGCAGAGCAGAAGGAAUGGUUGGAAAGUCAGGAACAGACUGGACUCCAUGUCCUUCCCAUCUAUGAUGCAACACAUGUUCUUCAGCCCCCAGAGGCCAGCAGGAAAUACGUGAGUCUAAAAGUGAAGAAAAUUCAUUAUUUACAUGCAGCAUCAAACUUCCUCUUGAUGUUACACAGGCAUCUUCCUGCUGUCUCACUCCUACUAAAAUCUCUCCCUCUGAGCCUCUGGUUCAACCCAGAGACUAACAAGGGGAGCAAGUGGUAAGUGUGAUGUGUAACUCAUAGAAAGACUGCUUAAAAAAAAGGUUUGCAAUAAAAAUGCUCUGGUACUUCA